RNAcentral lists this ribosomal RNA (347 nucleotides) under uncultured Propionicimonas sp. RNAcentral's name for it is "bacterial SSU rRNA". It matches the Rfam family "Bacterial small subunit ribosomal RNA", at positions 505 to 850 of the family's 1533-position model. Lineage: Bacteria; Bacillati; Actinomycetota; Actinomycetes; Propionibacteriales; Nocardioidaceae. The record is from RNAcentral.
GUGCCAGCAGCCGCGGUGAUACGUAGGGUGCGAGCGUUGUCCGGAUUUAUUGGGCGUAAAGAGCUUGUAGGCGGUUCGUUGCGUCGGAAGUGAAAACUCAGGGCUUAACUCUGAGCCUGCUUUCGAUACGGGCGGACUUGAGGGAUGUAGGGGAGAACGGAAUUCCUGGUGGAGCGGUGGAAUGCGCAGAUAUCAGGAGGAACACCAGUGGCGAAGGCGGUUCUCUGGACAUUUCCUGACGCUGAGAAGCGAAAGCGUGGGAGCAAACAGGCUUAGAUACCCUGGUAGUCCACGCCGUAAACGGUGGGCACUAGGUGUGGGAUCCGUUCCGACGGUUCCGUGCCGUA